This 412-nucleotide unclassified non-coding RNA is filed under the name Hevea brasiliensis (rubber tree). The record is from RNAcentral. Lineage: Eukaryota; Viridiplantae; Streptophyta; Magnoliopsida; Malpighiales; Euphorbiaceae.
UCUAUGAUACUUUAUUUGAGAUCUUCACUGCUUGCCACUGAAAAUGCUACUACCUGUCUCCAGAGGCUAUUGAAUUUUCCAGAGAAUAUAGAUCUGAGAAAACUUGUAGAUAAGGCAAAAUCUUUACAGGCUCUUGCAUUGGGGCCUAGUACCUCUUUCUUCUCUCCUCGUUUUGGUGAGGCUUAUAACCAUAAUAAGUCAAUGGUGGUGAGAAGUCAUACUCUUUCAUGUGAUUCUGUUUCUCCAAAAACUCCUCUAAACAUGGUGCCUGAAAGCUAUUGGGAAGAAAAGUGGAGAGUUAUGCACAAAGCAGAAGAACUCAAGGAUGGUAGUUCAGGGAAGCAAAAUCCAACCUCCAAAAAAGGAUGGACAGAAAAAGUAAGAUUGACUCUAUCUAGAACAGCAUCUGACC